CAGAGUGAACGCUGGCGGCAGGCCUAAUACAUGCAAGUCGAACGGCAGCACAGCAGAGCUUGCUCUGUGGGUGGCGAGUGGCGGACGGUGAGGAAUACAUGGGAAUCUGCCCAGUCGUGGGGAUAACGUAGGGAAACUUACGCUAAUACCGCAUGCGCCCUUCGGGGGAAAGCCGGGGACCUUCGGGCCUGGCGCGAUUGGAUGAGCCCAUGUCGGAUUAGCUAGUUGGCGGGGUAAUGGCCCACCAAGGCGACGAUCCGUAGCUGGUCUGAGAGGAUGAUCAGCCACACUGGAACUGAGACACGGUCCAGACUCCUACGGGAGGCAGCAGUAGGGAAUAUUGGACAAUGGGCGCAAGCCUGAUCCAGCCAUGCCGCGUGAGUGAAGAAGGCCCUCGGGUUGUAAAGCUCUUUUGUCCGGAAAGAAAAGCGCCGGGUUAAUACCCUGGUGUCCUGACGGUACCGGAAGAAUAAGCACCGGCUAACUUCGUG
RNAcentral lists this ribosomal RNA (491 nucleotides) under uncultured bacterium. Its description in RNAcentral is "bacterial SSU rRNA". It matches the Rfam family "Bacterial small subunit ribosomal RNA", at positions 25 to 507 of the family's 1533-position model. The record is from RNAcentral.